AGAGUUUGAUCCUGGCUCAGAUUGAACGCUGGCGGCAUGCCUUACACAUGCAGUCGAACGGUAACAGGGAGCUUGCUCCGCUGACGAGUGGCGAACGGGUGAGUAUAUAUCGGAACGUGCCUGAUAGUGGGGGACAACUAGUCGAAAGAUUAGCUAAUACCGCAUACGCCCUACGGGGGAAAGGGGGGGACUCGCAAGAGCCUCUCGCUAUCAGAGCGGCCGAUAUCUGAUUAGUAGUUGGUGAGGUAAAGGCUCACCAAGGCUUCGAUCAGAGCUGUCUGAGAGGACGACCAGCCACACUGGGACUGAGAACGGCCAGAUCCUACGGGAGGAGCUUGGGGAAUUUUGGAAAUGGGCGAAGCCUGU
RNAcentral lists this ribosomal RNA (366 nucleotides) under uncultured Glaciimonas sp. Its description in RNAcentral is "bacterial SSU rRNA". It matches the Rfam family "Bacterial small subunit ribosomal RNA", at positions 8 to 386 of the family's 1533-position model. The record is from RNAcentral. Lineage: Bacteria; Pseudomonadati; Pseudomonadota; Betaproteobacteria; Burkholderiales; Oxalobacteraceae.